GAUAAACGCUGGCGGCGUGCAUGAGACAUGCAAGUCGAACGAAGGAUCGGGCUUGCUCGAUCCUUAGUGGCGGACGGCUGAGUAACGCGUAGGUGACCUACCCCGAAGUGGGGAAUAACUGCCCGAAAGGGCGGCUAAUACCGCAUGUGGUCGCACGUUCAUUCGUGCGAGUAAAGCCGCAAGGCGCUUCGGGAGGGGCCUGCGUCCGAUUAGCUCGUUGGUGGGGUAAUGGCUUACCAAGGCGACGAUCGGUAGGUGGUCUGAGAGGACGAUCACCCAGACUGGGGCUGAGACACGGCCCAGACUCCUACGGGAGGCAGCAGUCGGGAAUUUUGCUCAAUGGGGGAAACCCUGAAGCAGCAACGCCGCGUGAGGGAUGAAGGCCUUCGGGUUGUAAACCUCUUUUGUCAGGGACGAUGAUGACGGUACCUGGCGAAUAAGCCACGGCUAACUACGUG
RNAcentral lists this ribosomal RNA (458 nucleotides) under uncultured bacterium. Its description in RNAcentral is "partial 16S ribosomal RNA". It matches the Rfam family "Bacterial small subunit ribosomal RNA", at positions 28 to 507 of the family's 1533-position model. The record is from RNAcentral.